RNAcentral lists this ribosomal RNA (253 nucleotides) under uncultured bacterium. RNAcentral's name for it is "partial 16S ribosomal RNA". It matches the Rfam family "Bacterial small subunit ribosomal RNA", at positions 524 to 776 of the family's 1533-position model. The record is from RNAcentral.
UACGUAGGGAGCAAGCGUUGUCCGGAAUCAUUGGGCGUAAAGCGCGCGUAGGCGGCCCUGUAAGUCCGCUGUGAAAGUCAAAGGCUCAACCUUUGAAAGCCGGUGGAUACUGCAGGGCUAGAGUCCGGAAGAGGCGAGUGGAAUUCCUGGUGUAGCGGUGGAAUGCGCAGAUAUCAGGAGGAACACCAAUAGCGAAGGCAGCUCGCUGGGACGGUACUGACGCUGAGGAGCGAAAGCCAGGGGAGCAAACGGG